Molecule: long non-coding RNA, 1531 nt
Filed under: Cyanistes caeruleus (blue tit)
Lineage: Eukaryota; Metazoa; Chordata; Aves; Passeriformes; Paridae
Description: lncRNA (ENSCCEG00000016251.1)
Source: RNAcentral
CCCCUGCUUCCAGAGAUAGAGAGCCCUUCCUUCCAAACUAGAGCAGCCUGGCCUUAAAACACUGCACCUCAUGGACGAGUGACCCACACCACAGCAGUUUUGGGAAGAUUGUUUGCCUGUGGGAGUGAUUCACGCUGCAGCAGUUUUGGUAGGACUGCUGAUUGUGAGAUUAGAGCCAUGCUGGAGAAGUUCACAGAGAAAUGUCUCCUAUGGGAGGGGCCCCAUGGCAUAGCAGAGAAAAGACUCCUGUCCCUUGAAUGAUGAACUGACCAAAAUCCCCGUGCCCUGUCUCCCUGCACUGUCAGUGGCAAGGAGAGAGGGGCUGGGGGUAAAAAAGGUGUUUUAAAGGCUCAUUUUAUUUCUCAUUAUCCUCCCCUCCUAUGACUCUGUUAAUAACAAAUUUACUUUGCACCUUUAAGUUUGAACCUGCUUGGUCCUUAGAGUGAUUUCUCCCGGUCCUCAUCUCAACUCAUGAGCCCUUUGACAACUUUUUUCCCUUUUCUCUGCCCAGAUGAGAACAAGAGAGAGUGAGUGAGUGGCUUUUGUGGGUACCCAUUUGGCCAGUGUCAAACCACGACAUCAUCUCACUAACCUUGUCUCAUUAUGGAUAAAAAAGAAGUGUCUACAGACACAGCAUCAUCUUGCAAAAAGUUUUUCUGGGGAGGAUUCAACGCUGAAUGUUUCUGCAACAAUUUCAAGCAUCUGGAUAAGACCAUAUCACCAGCUUCCUCACCGUGCUGAUAAAGGCUGGCUGACAUUCCUGGUUAGAAAUUCUGCUGGUAAAAACUGCAGUGCAGUGUUCCCACAAGGCUGGCAGAUGAUUCUCACUUUUGUCAGAUUUUCCAUCCAAGUUCAAAAGAAACUACUCCAGGGUCAGAGAAUUUUAUUUGUACAGGCUUUAGAAAGCUCAAAAUAAAAAUGAAAAUUUUCUUGUUGAGAGAAAUAUUUUGUCCAGUAUGAAACAUAUUAAUUAUUAACUUUGCAGUCCUUUGAUUUUUCUUUUUCUUGUGAGUGAGCCAGCAACUCUAGAAUCAACCUCCUUAAGCUUAAACUUGCCCUUUCCAAAAGUACUUGAGAGGCAGAGAAGCAAAUCAAGUGUUCCCAGAUUGUUGAAGUGACCUAGCAGCAGCAUUAUUUUUCUUUACCUCAGGCAAAAAUACACACCAAAACACAUGCAUAUAUGCUUUUGCAUACCAUGCAAACGCUUUGGGGUCAGGUGACAGCUCUCCAGAGGGACAACAAAGUAUUUUCCCUAAGCCCUGCUCUUUGAUGCCAUUUAUCUUCCUGCCUCACCUGUACCUCUCUGGUCCCCUUAGCCAGAAAUGACUGGGAGAGGUGCUGCUGAACCUGGAAUCCUCUUGAGAAAUCUGUCUUCUGAUUAAAUUUAUGAGAUACAUUUCCAUGCUCCUUGAAUAUUCAAGAGUAAGGGGAGAAAUCAGCUUCUUAUUACAGAGAUCUUUAUAUAAUAGAAGACUGUCCAGCCUUAGCCACUCCUUGUUCUUUAGCAUGACAGCUCACCAUGGAAAUGAGG